GAGGGGAUAGCUCAGUGGUAGAGUGCAUGCCUGGCAUGCAUGAGGUCCUGGGUUCAAUCCCCGGUACCUCCA
Molecule: transfer RNA, 72 nt
Filed under: Camelus bactrianus (Bactrian camel)
Lineage: Eukaryota; Metazoa; Chordata; Mammalia; Artiodactyla; Camelidae
Also listed under: 2 other names
Rfam family: tRNA
About the family: Transfer RNA (tRNA) molecules are approximately 80 nucleotides in length. Their secondary structure includes four short double-helical elements and three loops (D, anti-codon, and T loops).
Source: Rfam by way of RNAcentral